Molecule: ribosomal RNA, 499 nt
Filed under: Platypleura sp. 07 MHV-2009
Lineage: Eukaryota; Metazoa; Arthropoda; Insecta; Hemiptera; Cicadidae
Description: partial 16S ribosomal RNA
Rfam family: Bacterial large subunit ribosomal RNA (bases 373-499)
Source: RNAcentral
AAAAUUAAAGGUCUAAUCUGCCCAAUGAUAAUUGAAUGGCCGCGGUAACUUGACCGUGCAAAGGUAGCAUAAUUAUUAGUCUUUUAAUUGAAGGCUUGAAUGAAAGAUUGGAUGAAAAAUAGACUUUAUUAAUAAAAAUCAUUUAAUUUAUUAUUUAAGUAAAAAUUCUUAAAUAUACAAGUGGGACGAGAAGACCCUAUAGAGUUUUAUUUUUAUUUUUAUUAUGAAAUUUAAGAAUUAAUAUUUUUAUCAUAAAAAUAAAUUUUUUAUUGGGGUGAUAUUAAAAAUUAUUAAACUUUUAGUUAAUGUUUCAUUAAUAUAUGUAUAAUUGAUCCAAAUAAAUUUUUGAUUAUAAGAACUAAUUACCUUAGGGAUAACAGCGUUAUUAAUUUGAAGAGCUCAAAUCGAUAAAUUAGUUUGCGACCUCGAUGUUGGAUUAAGAGUAGAUUUUAAAGUAGUAUUUAAAAUUAUAGGUCUGUUCGACCUUUAAAUUCUUACG